This 1657-nucleotide ribosomal RNA is filed under the name Oliarus sp. 1 NS-2013. RNAcentral describes it as "eukaryotic LSU rRNA". It matches the Rfam family "Eukaryotic large subunit ribosomal RNA", at positions 1553 to 2610 of the family's 3401-position model. Lineage: Eukaryota; Metazoa; Arthropoda; Insecta; Hemiptera; Cixiidae. The record is from RNAcentral.
UAGGAGAAUCCGAUGUUGAUGGUCUGGCUGUCGACUUCUAUUCUCAACACUUAGAAAACGCUUCAGGCUUCCGGGCCGUAAAAGCGUAGGUUCUUUCUCGUGCCAUACACUCUAACGUGUGGACUCUCUGGUGUGUUUUCUGACAGGCUGGGUGGAGGAAACACCCGUCUGUACGGACACGAACGAUCUCUUAUUUCCCGCAUUCGUGUGGGAUUCGUUUAUCUCAUCAGAGUAGUCCAGGCUCUGCCACACUUGUCGGGUGUCCUGCUAGCCACGCACAGAGCGGUUGGAACUAGCCUUGGAGCUUUUGGCCGAGGAAGGACAAUGUGUUAUCCUUUAGCCCGUUGAAGGGCGAAAGGGAAUCCGGUCAACAUUCCGGAACCCGGCUGCGUAAACCGCUCUCUGUUGGCGUCAGCCGGCGAGCGCUUUGUUGGGGUAACCCAAGCUGUCCCGGAGACUCUGGCGGGGGGUCUGGGAAGAGUUUUCUUUUCUUUUUAAGCGUUCGUGGACCCUGGAAUUCUAUAGCAGAGAGAUAGGGUUUGGAACGCGAAAAACAUCGCAGUUGCGGCGGUGACCGGACUUCCCCCCCGGACCUUGAAAAUCUGGGUGAGAGCGAUGCGGUGAUCGCGCCGGUUCGUAUCCAUAUCCGCAUCUGGUCUCCAAGGUUCAAAGCCUCUUGUCGAUAGAAUAAUGUAGGUAAGGGAAGUCGGCAAAUUGGAUCCGUAACUUCGGGACAAGGAUUGGCUCUGAGGAUCGGGGCGUGUCGGGCUUGGUCGGGAAGCGGGUCAGUGCCAACGUGCCGGGCCUGGGCGAGGGUCGUUGUGGUUUCCUUGGCAGCAAUGCCUUUGUUACCCACGAUCCGAACUCGGUCCCGUGCCACUUGGCCUCCCGCGGAUCUUCCUUGCUGCGGGUUUUCGACCAAGCAGACCAGGCUGGGCCGCUUCAGGCCCGCCGGGACGGCUUCGAAUCAAUCCCUUCGGCCGCCAUUCAACGGUCAACUCAGAACUGGCACGGACAAGGAGAAUCCGACUGCCUAAUUAAAGCAAAGCAUUGCGAGGGCUCUAGCCGAGUGCUUACGCAAUGUGAUUUCUGCCCAGUGCUCUGAAUGUCAACGUGUAGAAAUUCAAGCAAGCGCGGGUAAACGGCGGGAGUAACUAUGACUCUCUUAAGGUAGCCAAAUGCCUCGUCAUCCAAUUAGUGACGCGCAUGAAUGGAUUAACGAGAUUCUCACUGUCCCUAUCUACUAUCUAGCGAAACCACAGCCAAGGGAACGGGCUUGGAAACAUUAGCGGGGAAAGAAGACCCUGUUGAGCUUGACUCUAGUCUGGCACUGUAAGGAGACAUGAGAGGUGUAGCAUAAGUGGGAGAAGGUGUGGCUUCUUGCCUGUCCGUCGACGGUGAAAUACCACUACUUUCAUCGUUUCUUUACUUACUCGGAUAGGCGGAGAGCGUGUCCGUCGAGGGCUCAGCCCACGCGGACCGGUAUUCUCGCGCCAAGCGUCCGGGUUGCCGGCAAGCGCCCGUCAGGCUUGGGUUCGUGCGUGUCUUCGACCUGUCACCGCAAGGUGGCUUGUCACCGACCCACGGCCUUCGCCUCGAUUGGGCGCCGUCGACCGGCAAACACUCCCACGCGUGAUCCGAUUCGAGGACACAGCCA